AGUGAACGCUGGCGGUAGGCCUAACACAUGCAAGUCGAACGGCAGCACAGGAGAGCUUGCUCUCUGGGUGGCGAGUGGCGGACGGGUGAGGAAUACAUCGGAAUCUACUCUGUCGUGGGGGAUAGCGUAGGGAAACUUACGCUAACACCGCAUACGACCUACGGGUGAAAGCAGGGGAUCUUCGGACCUUGCGCGAUUGAAUGAGCCGAUGUCGGAUUAGCUAGUUGGCGGGGUAAAGGCCCACCAAGGCGACGAUCCGUAGCUGGUCUGAGAGGACGAUCAGCCACACUGGAACUGAGACACGGUCCAGACUCCUACGGGAGGCAGCAGUGGGGAAUAUUGGACAAUGGGCGCAAGCCUGAUCCAGCCAUACCGCGUGGGUGAAGAAGGCCUUCGGGUUGUAAAGCCCUUUUGUUGGGAAAGAAAUCCAGCUGGCUAAUACCCGGUUGGGAUGACGGUACCCAAAGAAUAAGCACCGGCUAACUUCGUGCCAGCCGCCGCAGUAA
This 506-nucleotide ribosomal RNA is filed under the name uncultured bacterium. RNAcentral's name for it is "partial 16S ribosomal RNA". It matches the Rfam family "Bacterial small subunit ribosomal RNA", at positions 29 to 523 of the family's 1533-position model. The record is from RNAcentral.